UAGAUUAUGCCUAUUAAUUUAGCAGAAACUCCGCUACAUCAGGAGCGCGUCUCAUAAUAGGGGAUUUUCAUCUACCACCGUCAGAAUUUCGGCAGUUUUCAGCAUACAUGAUUCCUGAUUCAAUAUUUCUUUUAUUGUAUCAAAAAUUAAUUCUACGUUAAUGAAAAUUUUUAUUCGCUGGACUUAUUACCGAUAAGUUAAUCAAAAUUACACGGAAGUGCGUAGUGAGACUCGAGUAGUGAGCGAUUUGGCCAAUUACAGUCGAGAAUUGAAAACGUAAAGCUGUCGUUCCUCUGCGAUUGGUUGGUUUAUCAGGAAGUCACGAAACUAGGAGGAAGAGUGGGGGUUUCCCUUGCACAACUUACUUCCUGCGCCGCUUUCUCUCCGGCGCAUUGCCUUCUUCCCGCUCGUGAUCGGUUGACGCGCGUCGUCGUACCAGUUUGCCUUUUGCGAAAGGUACAAGCGAACAGUACGCAGGAAAGAUACAAGAUGAGAUUCGCGCGGGCGUUCUUUAAGGAAAUUGGCUCGAGUUCACUCGGAAAGAAUGGAACUUGGCAUUCAAUAAAAUGACGCAGAUUGGCCUGAGAUCGCAAAGAUGGAGGAUCCGCAAAGACUUUCGGAAUUCCUAGGGAGGAAAGUAUAUGGAAUGAAUUCACCGAUUGAUUGAUUUAAUCUGCAUCUCAUCUGACGUACGCGUUGCGAUAUUGAUUGCGAGGAUUCGCAGCGUGAGAAGAAUUUUCUCUCUGAAGUGAUAUGGAUGACGAUCUGCUCUAAAAUACUGGUGUCUCGUGUGUAGCUGGAUUCAAUGCGAGGAUAUCUUGGGCGCCUUCUGUAUAGUACAUUUUAUUGAUUCCCCUUAGGGUUACAAGGCGUUUUUGAAGGAACGUGCCCAAACCUCAUAU
Molecule: long non-coding RNA, 902 nt
Organism: Vollenhovia emeryi
Lineage: Eukaryota; Metazoa; Arthropoda; Insecta; Hymenoptera; Formicidae
Exons: 4
Source: RefSeq, a predicted model, not a curated record